ACGAUUCACCAAAAAUGUUUGAACGAUUCACCACACCUUGAAGAUCAGCUGUAUAUAUCGUUGAAAAUGAGCCAUGGAGGAUGUGAUAUUGAAAAUCAUAAAUUUUUUACACUGCAAGACAGUCAUACUAGAUUAUACUGCAGAAUGCAGUAAAGCAGAGCUCGGUUCUCUCGGAUGGGAUGAGAUGGAUGUUGAGGAGGAGUACAUGGAAGAGGAGGAGGAGGCGAAAGGGGACUACAAGCUGCAUUAAUUGGUGGAGGCCUUCUCCUCCUCUCGGCCACUACUACAUGGACCAGUGCUCCAACAAAAGGGGAAAUGAUUGAUCCCGAAACACGGACGAAGAUGAAGAAGACGGUAUUCAACCGGGUCUUUAAUGUCCCCGUUGAUUGGACGGCACGAUGAAGGUGGUGGCACCACCCGAGAAAGAGUCGGAGACCAGCAAGAAGAGACCUGCUCAACCUGUCACCUUGGAGGUCAAAAGGACCCAGCGUCUGUGUCCCUGGGAUGAUGAUCAACAAGAAAGCCGGUGGCAAGCCUGUCGUCGUAUCAGAGGAUCUGUCGGAACCAGAGACGCUUGGGAAG
This is a long non-coding RNA of Nilaparvata lugens (brown planthopper), 582 nucleotides long. RefSeq lists it as uncharacterized. The record is from RefSeq and is a predicted model, not a curated record. The transcript is spliced from 4 exons. NCBI's taxonomy places the organism in Eukaryota, Metazoa, Arthropoda, Insecta, Hemiptera, Delphacidae.